Molecule: long non-coding RNA, 451 nt
Organism: Homo sapiens (human)
Lineage: Eukaryota; Metazoa; Chordata; Mammalia; Primates; Hominidae
Product: long independently transcribed non-coding RNA 2630
Exons: 2
Source: RefSeq, a predicted model, not a curated record
CAUUUAACCAGAGUGAGCGAGAGAAGAAACAAACAGUGGGAGAAGAUGUCUCACGCACACUGAAGUUAGACCACUGCAAAACUGAGCCAGACGGCUUUGUUGUGCAGCUUUCUGAUGCCUCCAGGGGACAGCUGCUUAUCGGAGGGAGACUAUUAUGGGGUUGGGGCUGGAGAUGUUCCAUGCAGCAUCCUGCAAGGGGAAGCAGUUACUUUAUGAGAGCGAUGCUUCAACCAGCUAACUGGAUAGCCCUCCCUUUUGCAGCUGGUGUGGGUGAAGAUGUGGAAGCUUGAUUCUCCUUGGAAGCUCUGAUCACCCCAGCCCAGAACCACUAGUCCCCACUUAGUCUUGGAGAGGAGGCAAGGAUGUGUGUCCUCUGCGUGUAGCCUUACGGUCUGCAAAUGCUUAUGAAAACCUAUGAAAGAGAGACUAUUCAUUUUAGUUCCAUUUUAGA